This is a non-coding RNA of Labrus bergylta (ballan wrasse), 678 nucleotides long. The record is from RefSeq and is a predicted model, not a curated record. NCBI's taxonomy places the organism in Eukaryota, Metazoa, Chordata, Actinopteri, Labriformes, Labridae.
GCUCUCUGGUGUGAAGGAGGACAUCGUCACCAAACUGGACAAACGAGAGAUCAAGACCAACUACGUGAAUCCCAUCUACAUGAUCAUUGUCAUCAUCGCUGUUGUUCUCCUUCUUGUAACCAUCGUCUGUGUGGCUGGAUUCUGCCUGUACAAGAAGAGAAAUGCCAAACGCCCUCCAUCCCCGGUAAACGACCCGGCUGUGCAACAAAUGAUGCUUCCAAAUCAAAAUACCUGAAAGACAAAGAGAGGACCCUGAACCCAGUUUACGGGUACGUUCUGCACUGAAACAAGGAGCAGACCGACACGCUCUCCUCAGAAUUCAUUGGCUCUCAUCGUAUCAGACAUGAAGUGAUCAGAGUUGGGAAUUUAAAUUUAAAUCUUUGAAAUACAAAGAAAACAAGUUUGAAAAAGAGUUGACAAAUGCUUUACAAAUCUUGAUGAUUUAUUUUUUGUCACCUGGAGAGAAGAGAAUCAGAAGAUGAAUCUAUGACGGCAUCACGCCGCUCUUCAUGUGUUGAAGAAAGAUUUGUGUGUUGAUCUAAAAUCCAUCAUAGUUGGAUUUUUACUUCUGGUGUUCAGAGCUUUGUGCUAAAACAAAUGUUGGUGAUAAAUACGUUAAUAAAGACACACACACACACACACACACACACACACACACACACACACACACACACACAC